This 803-nucleotide ribosomal RNA is filed under the name uncultured archaeon. Its description in RNAcentral is "bacterial SSU rRNA". It matches the Rfam family "Archaeal small subunit ribosomal RNA", at positions 537 to 1342 of the family's 1478-position model. The record is from RNAcentral.
GUUUUCGGUUAAUCUGUACGCUCACGUACAGGCUGCCGGGAAUACUGCAAAGCUAGGGAGUGGGAGAGGUAGACGGUACUCGGUAGGAAGGGGUAAAAUCCUUUGAUCUAUUGAUGACCACCUGUGGCGAAGGCGGUCUACCAGAACACGUCCGACGGUGAGGGAUGAAAGCUGGGGGAGCAAACCGGAUUAGAUACCCGGGUAGUCCCAGCUGUAAACCAUGCAAACUCAGUGAUGCAUUGGCUUGUGGCCAAUGCAGUGCUGCAGGGAAGCCGUUAAGUUUGCCGCCUGGGAAGUACGUACGCAAGUAUGAAACUUAAAGGAAUUGGCGGGGGAGCACCACAAGGGGUGAAGCCUGCGGUUCAAUUGGAGUCAACGCCAGAAAUCUUACCCGGAGAGACAGCAGAAUGAAGGUCAAGCUGAAGACUUUACCAGACAAGCUGAGAGGUGGUGCAUGGCCGUCGCCAGCUCGUGCCGUGAGAUGUCCUGUUAAGUCAGGUAACGAGCGAGAUCCCUGCCUCUAGUUGCCACCAUUACUCACAGGAGUAGUGGGGCGAAUUAGCGGGACCGCCGCAGUUAAUGCGGAGGAAGGAAGGGGCCACGGCAGGUCAGUAUGCCCCGAAACUCUGGGGCCCACGCGGGCUGCAAUGGUAACGACAAUUGUUUUCGAAUCCGAAAGGAUGAGGUAAUCCUCAAACGUUACCACAGUUAUGACUGAGGGCUGCCACUCGCCCUCCCCAAUAUGGAAUCCCCAGUAACUGCCUGUCAUUAUCCCGCGGUGAAUACGUCCCUGCCUCCUUCAC